RNAcentral lists this ribosomal RNA (458 nucleotides) under Streptomyces sp. A00100. RNAcentral describes it as "bacterial SSU rRNA". It matches the Rfam family "Bacterial small subunit ribosomal RNA", at positions 51 to 527 of the family's 1533-position model. Lineage: Bacteria; Bacillati; Actinomycetota; Actinomycetes; Kitasatosporales; Streptomycetaceae. The record is from RNAcentral.
ACACAUGCAGUCGAACGAUGAAGCCUUUCGGGGUGGAUUAGUGGCGAACGGGUGAGUAACACGUGGGCAAUCUGCCCUUCACUCUGGGACAAGCCCUGGAAACGGGGUCUAAUACCGGAUAACACUCUGUCCCGCAUGGGACGGGGUUAAAAGCUCCGGCGGUGAAGGAUGAGCCCGCGGCCUAUCAGCUUGUUGGUGGGGUAAUGGCCUACCAAGGCGACGACGGGUAGCCGGCCUGAGAGGGCGACCGGCCACACUGGGACUGAGACACGGCCCAGACUCCUACGGGAGGCAGCAGUGGGGAAUAUUGCACAAUGGGCGAAAGCCUGAUGCAGCGACGCCGCGUGAGGGAUGACGGCCUUCGGGUUGUAAACCUCUUUCGGCAGGGAAGAAGCGAAAGUGACGGUACCUGCAGAAGAAGCGCCGGCUAACUACGUGCCAGCAGCCGCGGUAAUUCA